UGAGGUAGUAGAUUGAAUAGUUGUGGAGCCUUAUUCUCCCUCUGAGCUAACUAUACAAUCUACUGUCUUUC
RNAcentral lists this microRNA precursor (71 nucleotides) under Anolis carolinensis (green anole). RNAcentral describes it as "Aca-Let-7-P2a4_pre stem-loop". It matches the Rfam family "let-7 microRNA precursor family", at positions 7 to 78 of the family's 84-position model. Rfam says of the family: This family represents the microRNAs (miRNA) let-7 and mir-98. let-7 was identified from a study of developmental timing in C. elegans, and was later shown to be part of a much larger class of non-coding RNAs termed miRNAs. The extents of the hairpin precursors are not generally known and are estimated based on hairpin prediction. The products are thought to have regulatory roles through complementarity to mRNA. The record is from RNAcentral. Lineage: Eukaryota; Metazoa; Chordata; Lepidosauria; Squamata; Anolidae.